AACUUUGCGCAGUGGCGAUAUUGUAACCAAUGAGGUCUAAACGAGGUGCAAUUAUUGCUAGUUGAAAACUUAUACCAAUGCCCCGCUGGAGAGACUAGAAAUAGUCUCUUCUGGCAAUUUUUGAAAGCCCCCUAGGGGG
Small nuclear RNA from Thrips palmi, 139 nucleotides. RefSeq annotates it as U4 spliceosomal RNA. NCBI's taxonomy places the organism in Eukaryota, Metazoa, Arthropoda, Insecta, Thysanoptera, Thripidae. The transcript has a single exon. The record is from RefSeq and is a predicted model, not a curated record.